UUGACCUUACUCUGAAUUUCAUAUUCAUUAGAUGAGUUAUGGAAUUGAUCACUGUUCGUUAUCUUCACCUUUUCAUAUACACGGUCAAAACUAUUCAAAUUCAACCCGACUUCUACUAUACACUGUAGAUAUGGUGUUCCUGAUGAAAAUAAUUCAUACCAUCAUGUCAUCAGUACCAGUACCUACAGUAACUAGAAACCUCUCUUCUUGAAUUGAUGAUGUUUUCUUAGAUUGUUUCGUUAGCAUUGUUUGUACAUCGUCGAUUAUUAUUAUUAUACUUUCACUUCUAAUUCCGUGCGUUUCAUGGAAAACCAAUUACUUCUUACCUUAAUAAUCUUAGAAUUCCUACGCCUCGGAUUGAUAAUUGCACGCGCGACCACCCAGUAGCCAGCAUCGUAAGUAUCAGAUCAUUUUGACCAAUUCAUAACUAGCUUGUAGAACAAUAAGUUUGGUCUUCGAAGCAGUCCAUAUUUUCGUAAGGAAUAAAGGUAAGAUAUUGGUAAAACAUUUAACGGACUCCACAGCGAAACUUUCUAGGAAUUGUCUGAACUUUGAAGGUGUAGUAUUGGUACAAUGAUUCGAAUUCAUUCGUAGAGUCGACGUAGAAUAUUUUUUACAACCAAAACGCCAUUUCAAAGACUCGUCGUUUUGAAAAGAAAUCUUGAGUAGACGAUGGAUCCUCCUAGGCACCUGAUUUCACCUCUGGUGUGUCCAGGGGUCCGUGUUUGCCCAGCUAUCUAUUUUGUAUUGCUUAUAGGAGUUAUAAGAUUGAUCACUGUUCGUUAUCUUCACCUUGCAUUUCCAAAUGUGGAAUUCUUCUCAAUUGCAGGUAUAAAAAUUUCAGUAAAAAGAAAGACAGUAUAUUUAAAACAUAUUUUAACGGAACCAAAAUUUGUACCAUGAGCUAUUUGGGUUUUGUCUAUACUUGUUGCUUAUGAAACAAAAUGCGGAUAUACAGCGUCUCUAAUCUGAAAAAGUGUUUAGGACUUCCACCUCAUACUGCAAAUGUAUUACAUUUGGCUGUGUAUUCUAUUUAGCGUCUUUGACGGAACGCAGCUUCCGCUAAAUCAAGUGCAUCACUAAAUGCCAUCCGUAAAUCUAGAUGUUUAAAGUAAUUCAGGAAUGCUCUAAAACAAAUCUACGCUAACUUGUUGAAAAAACGAUUUCCGCCAAAUAUCGUACACGCCAAAUAUAAUACGUUUACAGUAGUUUUCCAUAAUCUUAUAAAAUGUGCAUAUCUUACAAAGUUUUAUUGCAACAAAAACAUACGGUUUUCUUACGCUCGAAUUAAAUGAUAUUUGUCUUCUGUUAUGUUGAAGAUGGAUAUUUUGUCCAAGGAACUGAAAUUCAACAGACCGUGAAGAUGACUCGGGUGUAGAGAAGCAUGCAUUCGGACAACUAAAUUCGCUCCUUCCUCUUCAACGACUGCCGCAUCACUUUUUGAGAAUUUAAUGAUGAUUAUCAUGAUGAUAAUGAUGAUAUUCUUUACUUAUACAAAAUUUCACAAUUACUUAUUGUACAGACUAGUAAACGUCGUCCAGUUGAUGACAUCGCAAAAAGCAAGGACCCGUGUCACAGCAGAUAUACAUAAAAUUCAGGUGUUUUAUUAUGUGUAUUAUGUAAACAUAUCUGCAAGGGGGUAAGCGGAACUCGGGGAUUUACACGAAUCAGGUUCUCGCUUAAAUGUCUGACUCUAUACUCAGUGUAUUCCAUCAUCAUUUCAGGGGGAAUAUGGGGAUCACCUUUGUUUACCUUAGGGGCUGGUUUGACCCUUGUGGUACCAAUGGCAAGUUUUGGGCUUAUCCUUGUAUGGUACCAAGGGAGGCGGGAUAGAAUGAGGACCUGAGCCAGUACUUGAUUUCCAAAUCACAUGUGGUAUUCUCUCUUGUUAUGGUACCAAGAAUUCUCGCUCAUCAUGAUCAAAUGUGGGUGCGUCUUUUGCCAGUUGAUGGGGGCAUUUGGUGAUUCUGCGGUUUCUGCCUGGGUAACUCAAAGAAGUGGAUUGUAGAUUGUGACAAAUAAUCGCCACAAACUUGUAAUAUUCAAGUUUUUUCAUUAAAGUGUUGUAAUUUAUACGAUUUGUCAUGUUUAUUUCUGCACCUGGAAUUAUUGACUAUUUUGAGUGUAGUUUCUUACAGUGGACGACAAAGCAAAACAGAAUGAAUGAAUAGCUACCAACAUGCAGACACCCAAUAACAAACCCUUAUCAUGAUGAUUGUUACAAGUAUUAACAUUGAUUCCGUCUACUUAUUCUAGCAUCCAUUCCACGUUUCCUUAGACAUCCCUCCACUUGUUCCUACAGUAAACUUUCCCAUAAAGGCAUUCGUAGCUGUAGGUCAUCACGCAGGAAGUAGAGGUAGAAGUCACAGAAAAACAUGCUCACACAUAACACUCAGACUCCGUUUGCCUGAUCAGGAUAUGGGGCUCAUGGCGGGUGUGACCGGUCAACAGGCACCUGAUCCCACCUCUGGUGUGUCCAGUGCUCCGUGUUUGCCCAACUAUCUAUUUUGUGUUGCUUGUAGGAGUUAUGAGAUUGAUCACUGUUCGUUAUCUUCACCUUGCAUACUACACACUCCAAAGCAGAUGUUCCUGCAGAGAAAGUCAUAUAUCAUCAUGAAAUCAAUGAUUGGAUGCCAGUAAGAGUCACUUUGAUUGGAUCUGUAUUUAUAAUCUUUUAUCUUUGGACAUAUUUUUACCUUAUGAAAACAGCAUGGUAAAAAAUUAAAUUUUCUCAGCAAUAAUUGAAUUGUUUUAAUCUUAAAUGCAAAUACGUUAUGUUUCCUUUUAGGUGAAAAACUAUUUCAAAAUAUCCGAUAAAAAUAGGUAACGCAUUAAUUGUCUUGCUAACUAUAGAUUUUACAACCGUAUGAGAUUUACAAAUCGUCAUGAAAUUUCUUGCAAAGCUCAUCAUUAUUCCAUUGCUAUCACAUAUUAUAUCAUGUAUAGAAGAGGGCAAUAUACAUCAUCAAGAUAUUUGUGAUGACCAGGUCGUGGGUACGGAUAUAGCUGUCGAGGAGCAAUCAGGUGAUUCCGACAAAACUGGCUCAUCAAUAAUUGUGCCACUAGGUUCAGAACAUCGACUGGUUCAACUUGUAUAAGAGGUGAAACUUGUGGAAUCGGAAUUCAAACGCAAAAAAAAAACCGUUUAUGAUAAAUAUAAUAUCAAAUGUAGAUAUAAUCAUCUCCAGUUGAGGAAAAUGAAAAACAGUGUUAUCAGUAUAAAGAUACAAAACUCAGAACACGUGGUUCAGAACCAGGAAUUUUAUGUGUCAUUGAAUACACCGGAUACAAUGCCUUUGAUCUGCACAACUUGGAAACACAUUCCCUCUGAAGCCUAAACUCGACUUUGACAAUAAUGAUCAAAACACAGAAUGUUCUCACAUUAUCAUCCGAUGCACUUCAGAACAGAGAUUUGUGGACUUUCAUGAAGGUUUCCCCAAAUCAGCUACACGUACUUAGGGAGUUUCUGUGACCAGAGAAGUAGACAAAAACGAGAGGAAAUAGACAUUGGUGAAAAUUCAUAUAACAUUGUUAAUUAUCAGCUAUUCCCAGCAAAAUUAACACACUGAUACAUGUAAAUGAACACCGACUGCCAACAACAGUUUAAAAUGUAGUCGCUAUAAUUGUACUUUCACAGCAUGUUAUGUAAUUUCAUAUUUUUUUAUUUCAAUGAUAUUAUGAGCUGCUGUCAUAUCGAAUAAAACAACAUUGAAUGUGUAA
Molecule: long non-coding RNA, 3720 nt
Organism: Ostrea edulis (European flat oyster)
Lineage: Eukaryota; Metazoa; Mollusca; Bivalvia; Ostreida; Ostreidae
Exons: 4
Source: RefSeq, a predicted model, not a curated record